RNAcentral lists this ribosomal RNA (497 nucleotides) under uncultured bacterium. Its description in RNAcentral is "partial 16S ribosomal RNA". It matches the Rfam family "Bacterial small subunit ribosomal RNA", at positions 28 to 507 of the family's 1533-position model. The record is from RNAcentral.
GAUGAACGCUGGCGGCGUGCCUAAUACAUGCAAGUCGAGCGAACGGACGAGAAGCUUGCUUCUCUGAUGUUAGCGGCGGACGGGUGAGUAACACGUGGAUAACCUACCUAUAAGACUGGGAUAACUUCGGGAAACCGGAGCUAAUACCGGAUAAUAUUUUGAACCGCAUGGUUCAAAAGUGAAAGACGGUCUUGCUGUCACUUAUAGAUGGAUCCGCGCUGCAUUAGCUAGUUGGUAAGGUAUCGGCUUACCAAGGCAACGAUGCAUAGCCGACCUGAGAGGGUGAUCGGCCACACUGGAACUGAGACACGGUCCAGACUCCUACGGGAGGCAGCAGUAGGGAAUCUUCCGCAAUGGGCGAAAGCCUGACGGAGCAACGCCGCGUGAGUGAUGAAGGUCUUCGGAUCGUAAAACUCUGUUAUUAGGGAAGAACAUAUGUGUAAGUAACUGUGCACAUCUUGACGGUACCUAAUCAGAAAGCCACGGCUAACUACGUG